This 527-nucleotide ribosomal RNA is filed under the name uncultured bacterium. RNAcentral describes it as "bacterial SSU rRNA". It matches the Rfam family "Bacterial small subunit ribosomal RNA", at positions 8 to 526 of the family's 1533-position model. The record is from RNAcentral.
AGAGUUUGAUCCUGGCUCAGAUUGAACGCUGGCGGCAGGCCUAACACAUGCAAGUCGAGCGGUAGCACAGAGAGCUUGCUUCUCGCUGACGAGCGGCGGACGGGUGAGUAAUGUAUGGGGAUCUGCCCGAUAGAGGGGGAUAACUACUGGAAACGGUGGCUAAUACCGCUUAAUCUCUCAGGAGCAAAGCAGGGGAACUUCGGUCCUUGCGCUAUCGGAUGAACCCAUAUGGGAUUAGCUAGUAGGUGAGGUAAUGGCUCACCUAGGCGACGAUCCCUAGCUGGUCUGAGAGGAUGACCAGCCACACUGGAACUGAGACACGGUCCAGACUCCUACGGGAGGCAGCAGUGGGGAAUAUUGCACAAUGGGCGCAAGCCUGAUGCAGCCAUGCCGCGUGUGUGAAGAAGGCCUUCGGGUUGUAAAGCACUUUCAGUCGGGAGGAAGGCGUUGAUGCUAAUAUCAUCAACGAUUGACGUUACCGACAGAAGAAGCACCGGCUAACUCCGUGCCAGCAGCCGCGGUAAUUC